RNAcentral lists this ribosomal RNA (493 nucleotides) under uncultured bacterium. RNAcentral describes it as "partial 16S ribosomal RNA". It matches the Rfam family "Bacterial small subunit ribosomal RNA", at positions 29 to 523 of the family's 1533-position model. The record is from RNAcentral.
AUUGAACGCCGGCGGCAUGCUUUACACAUGCAAGUCGAACGGUAACAGGUUAAGCUGACGAGUGGCGAACGGGUGAGUAAUGCAUCGGAACGUGCCCGAUCGUGGGGGAUAACGCAGCGAAAGCUGCGCUAAUACCGCAUACGAUCUGAGGAUGAAAGCGGGGGACCGUAAGGCCUCGCGCGAUCGGAGCGGCCGAUGUCAGAUUAGGUAGUUGGUGGGGUAAAGGCUCACCAAGCCAACGAUCUGUAGCUGGUCUGAGAGGACGACCAGCCACACUGGGACUGAGACACGGCCCAGACUCCUACGGGAGGCAGCAGUGGGGAAUUUCGGACAAUGGGCGAAAGCCUGAUCCAGCAAUGCCGCGUGCAGGAAGAAGGCCUUCGGGUUGUAAACUGCUUUUGUACGGAGCGAAAAAGCUCUCUCUAAUACAGGGGGCUCAUGACAGUACCGUAAGAAUAAGCACCGGCUAACUACGUGCCAGCCGCCGCGGUAA